UAAGGGCGCACGGUGGAUGCCUUGGCACUAGAAGCCGAUGAAGGACGUUACUAACGACGAUAUGCUUUGGGGAGCUGUAAGUAAGCUUUGAUCCAGAGAUUUCCGAAUGGGGAAACCCAGCAUGAGUUAUGUCAUGUUAUCGAUAUGUGAAUACAUAGCAUAUCAGAAGGCACACCCGGAGAACUGAAACAUCUUAGUACCCGGAGGAAGAGAAAGAAAAUUCGAUUCCCUUAGUAGCGGCGAGCGAAACGGGAAGAGCCCAAACCAACAAGCUUGCUUGUUGGGGUUGUAGGACACUCUAUACGGAGUUACAAAGGACGACAUUAGACGAAUCAUCUGGAAAGAUGAAUCAAAGAAGGUAAUAAUCCUGUAGUCGAAAAUGUUGUCUCUCUUGAGUGGAUCCUGAGUACGACGGAGCACGUGAAAUUCCGUCGGAAUCUGGGAGGACCAUCUCCUAAGGCUAAAUACUCUCUAGUGACCGAUAGUGAACCAGUACCGUGAGGGAAAGGUGAAAAGCACCCCGGAAGGGGAGUGAAAUAGAACCUGAAACCGUGUGCUUACAAGUAGUCAGAGCCCGUUAAUGGGUGAUGGCGUGCCUUUUGUAGAAUGAACCGGCGAGUUACGAUUUGAUGCAAGGUUAAGCAGUAAAUGUGGAGCCGUAGCGAAAGCGAGUCUGAAUAGGGCGUUUAGUAUUUGGUCGUAGACCCGAAACCAGGUGAUCUACCCUUGGUCAGGUUGAAGUUCAGGUAACACUGAAUGGAGGACCGAACCGACUUACGUUGAAAAGUGAGCGGAUGAACUGAGGGUAGCGGAGAAAUUCCAAUCGAACCUGGAGAUAGCUGGUUCUCUCCGAAAUAGCUUUAGGGCUAGCCUCAAGUGAUGAUUAUUGGAGGUAGAGCACUGUUUGGACGAGGGGCCCCUCUCGGGUUACCGAAUUCAGACAAACUCCGAAUGCCAAUUAAUUUAACUUGGGAGUCAGAACAUGGGUGAUAAGGUCCGUGUUCGAAAGGGAAACAGCCCAGACCACCAGCUAAGGUCCCAAAAUAUAUGUUAAGUGGAAAAGGAUGUGGCGUUGCCCAGACAACUAGGAUGUUGGCUUAGAAGCAGCCAUCAUUUAAAGAGUGCGUAAUAGCUCACUAGUCGAGUGACACUGCGCCGAAAAUGUACCGGGGCUAAACAUAUUACCGAAGCUGUGGAUUGUCCUUUGGACAAUGGUAGGAGAGCGUUCUAAGGGCGUUGAAGCAUGAUCGUAAGGACAUGUGGAGCGCUUAGAAGUGAGAAUGCCGGUGUGAGUAG
This 1296-nucleotide ribosomal RNA is filed under the name Staphylococcus aureus. Its description in RNAcentral is "partial 23S ribosomal RNA". It matches the Rfam family "Bacterial large subunit ribosomal RNA", at positions 12 to 1309 of the family's 2925-position model. Lineage: Bacteria; Bacillati; Bacillota; Bacilli; Caryophanales; Staphylococcaceae. The record is from RNAcentral.